GACGAACGCUGGCGGCGUGCUUAACACAUGCAAGUCGAGCGGUAAGGCCCUUUCGGGGGUACACGAGCGGCGAACGGGUGAGUAACACGUGGGUGACCUGCCUUUAGUCUCUGGGAUAAGCCUGGGAAACCGGGUCUAAUACCGGAUAUGACUCCGCGGCGCAUGUUGUGGGGUGGAAAGCCUUGUGCGGCUGGAGAUGGGCCCGCGGCCUAUCAGCUUGUUGGUGGGGUGAUGGCCUACCAAGGCGACGACGGGUAGCCGGCCUGAGAGGGCGACCGGCCACACUGGGACUGAGACACGGCCCAGACUCCUACGGGAGGCAGCAGUGGGGAAUCUUGCGCAAUGGGCGAAAGCCUGACGCAGCGACGCCGCGUGAGGGAUGACGG
This 386-nucleotide ribosomal RNA is filed under the name uncultured bacterium. RNAcentral describes it as "bacterial SSU rRNA". It matches the Rfam family "Bacterial small subunit ribosomal RNA", at positions 28 to 414 of the family's 1533-position model. The record is from RNAcentral.